CCUACGGGAGGCAGCAGUGGGGAAUAUUGCACAAUGGGGGAAACCCUGAUGCAGCAACGCCGCGUGAGUGAGGAAGUAUUUCGGUAUGUAAAGCUAUAUCAGCAGGGAAUAGAAAAGAAGGUACCUGACAACGAAGCCCCGGCUAACUACGUGCCAGCAGCCGCGGUAAUACGUAGGGGGCAAGCGUUAUCCGGAUUUACUGGGUGGAAAGGGAGCGUAGGCGGAAAGGCAAGUCAGAAGUGAAAACCCAAGGCUCAACCAUGGGACUGCUUUUGAAACUGUCAAACUAGAGUACGGGAGAGGUAAGAGGAAUUCCUAGUGUAGCGGUGAAAUGCGUAGAUAUUAGGAGGAACCCCAGUGGCGAAGGCGUCUUACUGGACCGAAACUGACGUUGAGGCUCGAAAGCGUGGGGAGCAAACAGGAUUAGAUACCCUAGUAGUC
This 441-nucleotide ribosomal RNA is filed under the name uncultured bacterium. RNAcentral's name for it is "partial 16S ribosomal RNA". It matches the Rfam family "Bacterial small subunit ribosomal RNA", at positions 338 to 795 of the family's 1533-position model. The record is from RNAcentral.